RNAcentral lists this long non-coding RNA (222 nucleotides) under Gallus gallus (chicken). The record is from RNAcentral. Lineage: Eukaryota; Metazoa; Chordata; Aves; Galliformes; Phasianidae.
GGUAUUUCUCCAGAGGCUCUGUCAGCAGCAUAUCUCCAAAUAUGGUUCGGCAGUACUCAGCCAUCUUUGCCUGCUGCUUGGGCGAGUCCACAUGGUUCUCAAAGGAGAGGAUGACAGGGUAAAGGGAUGUUUUGAAAGCACUUUCUGCAAUGGCCUCAAUGGCAUCCUGAAGGAGGGAACAUCACAGAGACCAGCACUCGUUAGUAACAGAUCUGAUCUCCC